This 529-nucleotide ribosomal RNA is filed under the name uncultured bacterium. RNAcentral describes it as "bacterial SSU rRNA". It matches the Rfam family "Bacterial small subunit ribosomal RNA", at positions 777 to 1308 of the family's 1533-position model. The record is from RNAcentral.
AAUAGAUACCCUGGUAGUCCACGCCGUAAACGGUGGGCACUAGAUGUGGGGCUCUUUCCAUGAGUUCCGCGUCGCAGCUAACGCAUUAAGUGCCCCGCCUGGGGAGUACGGCCGCAAGGCUAAAACUCAAAGGAAUUGACGGGGGCCCGCACAAGCGGCGGAGCAUGCGGAUUAAUUCGAUGCAACGCGAAGAACCUUACCAAGGCUUGACAUAUACCGUUUAUCCCUAGAGAUAGGGAGUCCUUCGGGGCGGUAUACAGGUGGUGCAUGGUUGUCGUCAGCUCGUGUCGUGAGAUGUUGGGUUAAGUCCCGCAACGAGCGCAACCCUCGUUCUAUGUUGCCAGCGCGUAAUGGCGGGGACUCAUAGGAGACUGCCGGGGUCAACUCGGAGGAAGGUGGGGAUGACGUCAAAUCAUCAUGCCCCUUAUGUCUUGGGCUUCACGCAUGCUACAAUGGCCGGUACAAAGGGCUGCAAUACCGCAAGGUGAGCGAAUCCCAAAAGCCGGUCUCAGUUCGGAUUGAGGUCUGC